AAAGGGAGACCUAAUUCAGGUAGGCGACGAAAAAAAAGUAGUCCCAACCAAGAAUCAAUCCCAAAAGGUCGGAGCGAGGCAAAAUUGGCUUUCAAACUAGGUUCUGGGUUCACACAAGACCUGAAUCAGGAACAAGGGCUAUUAGCUCAGGUGGUUAGAGCGCACCCCUGAUAAGGGUGAGGUCCCUGGUUCGAGUCCAGGAUGGCCCACCUGCACAGGUGGCAAAAACAAAGAAGCGAGGAAUCAGCACCUGAUCUUACUUAUAUAGUAAGAGAGAAUGCUGGCUCUGAGUUCAGAGUCCAGAGGAACCUUGAAAACUGCAUAGAGCUAGGUGAAAAAGCCAAAAAAGAAGACCGCAAG
RNAcentral lists this transfer RNA (360 nucleotides) under uncultured Microcystis sp. RNAcentral describes it as "partial 16S-23S ribosomal RNA intergenic spacer". The stretch from base 136 to 209 matches the Rfam family "tRNA". The record is from RNAcentral. Lineage: Bacteria; Bacillati; Cyanobacteriota; Cyanophyceae; Chroococcales; Microcystaceae.